Molecule: unclassified non-coding RNA, 24 nt
Filed under: Arabidopsis thaliana (thale cress)
Lineage: Eukaryota; Viridiplantae; Streptophyta; Magnoliopsida; Brassicales; Brassicaceae
Source: RNAcentral
UUUAGAUCUGAAGAAAGCAGUACG